CUUAUUGUCACUUUGUUUUACAGUUUUUCUUGAUUUACCACCGUGAAAUUUCCAGAUCAGUAAGAUGAAGAGUAAACCAUGAAUUCCUCGCGGUCGACUCUUGAGUAACUACACGCUGGACUCUAACACAGAAGGGCAUCCGCUGCACAAAGGUCUCCCACCUGGCCUUCAGUUUUAAAGGCAACACAGGAAAUCACAGGCCAUUUGAUGAAUGCUAUGCUGCUAUGCUGUUCAGCUGGUCGUCUGUGUUUCCAGUGGCUUUGAUUACUGUGCUCCAGCCCACUUGGCGUCCCACAUCACUGGUAUAAGCUGGCAGUGGAGAGGAAGAGGCGAUGCUCACUGGCCUCUGAGGG
Long non-coding RNA from Acanthopagrus latus (yellowfin seabream), 353 nucleotides. RefSeq lists it as uncharacterized. The transcript is spliced from 3 exons. Lineage: Eukaryota; Metazoa; Chordata; Actinopteri; Spariformes; Sparidae. The record is from RefSeq and is a predicted model, not a curated record.